Molecule: ribosomal RNA, 467 nt
Filed under: uncultured bacterium
Lineage: Bacteria
Description: partial 16S ribosomal RNA
Rfam family: Bacterial small subunit ribosomal RNA
Source: RNAcentral
GACGAACGCUGGCGGCGUGCUUAACACAUGCAAGUCGAAGGGAAAGUCCUCGUUCGGGGGGUACUCGAGAGGCGAACGGGUGAGUGACACGUGAGUAACCUGCUCUCGACUGUGGGAUAACUUCAGGAAACUGGGGCUAAUACCGGGUAGAGGCUCCUGCUGCUUGGAGGGGGUUGGAAAGUUUCGGCGGUUUGGGAUGGACUCGCGGCUGAUCAGCUUGUUGGUGGGGUAGUGGCUUACCAAGGCUUUGCCGGGUAGCCGGCCUGGGAGGGUGACCGGCAACAGUCAGACUGGGACACGGCCCAGACUCCUACGGGUGGCAGCAGCAGGGAAUGUUGCACAAUGGGUGGAAGCCUGAUGCUGCCACGGCGUGUGCGCGAUGACGGUCUUCGGGUUGUGAUUCGAUUUCGCUCAUGACGAAGCUUUGUGUGACGGUAGUGGGUAAAGAAGCACCGGCUAACUACGUG